UGGCUGUAUUUACAUGCCAAAAAUUACUCUGAGUACAGACUUACCUGUGAAGUUGGAAAAGUUUUAUUGCCUAGCAUCCACUAGAUAUAAUAAAGUUGCAUGCAUUUUGUGUUUCAGAAAGAUAAAAUCUCUUUUGGAUUUUGAUGGGCAUUUGUUUUCCUUCAUGCAAAAGGUGUGAAAAUUAACUAAGUUGUGGUACAACUAUGAGAUGCUCCCUCAGGUAAAAAACCGGUUUGUAUUGUUUUGAUUGUCCUUAAUUGACAUGGACAAUAGUUAUCUUCACAACUAUAGGUGAGUUAAAGAGUUUAUCUGAGUCAGUGAGUGGACAGUAUCAAAGUAAUUCAGGUGUUUGUUUAUUUUUACACCUUCUGCAGAAAGGAAAAAAAUGCCCAUCAAAAACUAAGAAAGAGUUUAUCUUUCUUAAAC
RNAcentral lists this long non-coding RNA (426 nucleotides) under Mytilus galloprovincialis (Mediterranean mussel). Lineage: Eukaryota; Metazoa; Mollusca; Bivalvia; Mytilida; Mytilidae. The record is from RNAcentral.